UACGAAGGGGGCUAGCGUUGUUCGGAAUUACUGGGCGUAAAGGGCGCGUAGGCGGCCUGCUAAAUCGGGCGUGAAAGGCCUGGGCUUAACCCAGGAACUGCACCCGAGACUGACAGGCUCGAGUCCGGGAGGGGAUGGUGGAAUUCCCAGUGUAGAGGUGAAAUUCGUAGAUAUUGGGAAGAACACCGGUGGCGAAGGCGGCCAUCUGGACCGGUACUGACGCUGAGGCGCGAAAGCGUGGGGAGCAAACAGG
RNAcentral lists this ribosomal RNA (253 nucleotides) under uncultured bacterium. RNAcentral's name for it is "partial 16S ribosomal RNA". It matches the Rfam family "Bacterial small subunit ribosomal RNA", at positions 524 to 776 of the family's 1533-position model. The record is from RNAcentral.